CCACGUUAUCCAUUUUGAUUAAAACCUAUAAUGAUCAAAUUUGGUAAUUAACAUUUCAGAAUGUGAUAAAAUUGUGAAAACCACAACCAAAAUAUAUUAAAUAAAUAAAAAAUUAUUUAAUAAUGAUUAUAUAAUUUUAAUCAUUUUUUUAUUAUGAAAGUAAAAGUGAUUUGGGCUAAAAACAAAUUUUUGAUAUGUAUAAAAAUAAUUUUUAAAAAGAAUGUCUAGGUCCCUUGGUAACUCAAAAAGUGGCUUACCACUUGAGUAGCAAGCACAAGUGGCCAUUUAUGUUCUACAGAAAAUCAAUGAACAUUAUGAAAGUAAAGUUUAUUUAACACUAUAAGACUUUUCUAUAAAAGCUAAGUACCUUAGUCCACCUGCAACACUUCUUUUGCUGAGUUCCUUGUUGGUUUCUUGUUAUUACCAGUUCUGAACCGUUUCUAGUUGAUCUCACAGUCCGGCGAUUGAAAGGGGCUUUGAGAGAGAAUCCAAUAGCUUUGCUCUGAUCUAGUCGAUGUCUGGCGAUUUCGCGAAUCUAGCUUCAGCUUUGCGCUUUGAAUGAGAAUCGGAUAUAGUCAAAAUGACCUCACGGUUUGAUUUACGAGAGUGGAUUUGCGAAAGGGGGUUUGAGAGAGAUUCACGCGAGUUUGCUACGCUAAAUGUGUAAGUUCUGGAAGUGACAUGAAUUGUUGAAUUUUUGUGACUCGAAUGAAAUUUUCCCUUUUUUUGUAAUCCGCGUGUUUUUUUUUCCUUUGGUCCGUUGUUGGUCCG
Molecule: long non-coding RNA, 771 nt
Filed under: Panax ginseng (ginseng)
Lineage: Eukaryota; Viridiplantae; Streptophyta; Magnoliopsida; Apiales; Araliaceae
Description: long non-coding RNA (PGIN_LNC007467)
Source: RNAcentral